RNAcentral lists this ribosomal RNA (398 nucleotides) under Klebsiella quasipneumoniae subsp. similipneumoniae. RNAcentral describes it as "partial 23S ribosomal RNA". It matches the Rfam family "Bacterial large subunit ribosomal RNA", at positions 125 to 563 of the family's 2925-position model. Lineage: Bacteria; Pseudomonadati; Pseudomonadota; Gammaproteobacteria; Enterobacterales; Enterobacteriaceae. The record is from RNAcentral.
AACCCAGUGUGAUUCGUCACACUAUCGUUAACUGAAUACAUAGGUUAACGAGGCGAACCGGGGGAACUGAAACAUCUAAGUACCCCGAGGAAAAGAAAUCAACCGAGAUUCCCCCAGUAGCGGCGAGCGAACGGGGAGCAGCCCAGAGUCUGAAUCAGCUUGUGUGUUAGUGGAACGGUCUGGAAAGUCCGACGGUACAGGGUGAUAGUCCCGUACACCAAAAUGCACAGGUUGUGAACUCGAAGAGUAGGGCGGGACACGUGGUAUCCUGUCUGAAUAUGGGGGGACCAUCCUCCAAGGCUAAAUACUCCUGACUGACCGAUAGUGAACCAGUACCGUGAGGGAAAGGCGAAAAGAACCCCGGCGAGGGGAGUGAAAAAGAACCUGAAACCGUGUAC